GCUUGCUCCUUGGGUGGCGAGUGGCGGACGGGUGAGGAAUACAUCGGAAUCUGCCUAUUUGUGGGGGAUAACGUAGGGAAACUUACGCUAAUACCGCAUACGACCUACGGGUGAAAGCCGGGGACCUUCGGGCCUGGCGCAGAUAGAUGAGCCGAUGUCGGAUUAGCUAGUUGGCGGGGUAAAGGCCCACCAAGGCGACGAUCCGUAGCUGGUCUGAGAGGAUGAUCAGCCACACUGGAACUGAGACACGGUCCAGACUCCUGCGGGAGGCAGCAGUGGGGAAUAUUGGACAAUGGGCGCAAGCCUGAUCCAGCCAUGCCGCGUGGGUGAAGAAGGCCUUCGGGUUGUAAAGCCCUUUUGUUGGGAAAGAAAAGCAGUCGGUUAAUACCCGAUUGUUCUGACGGUACCCAAAGAAUAAGCACCGGCUAACUUCGUGCCAGCAGCCGCGGUAAUACGAAGGGUGCAAGCGUUACUCGGAAUUACUGGGCGUAAAGCGUGCGUAGGUGGUUUGUUAAGUCUGAUGUGAAAGCCCUGGGCUCAACCUGGGAAUUGCAUUGGAUACUGGCAGGCUAGAGUGCGGUAGAGGGUAGUGGAAUUCCCGGU
This 603-nucleotide ribosomal RNA is filed under the name Xanthomonas sp. AmSamHD40. Its description in RNAcentral is "bacterial SSU rRNA". It matches the Rfam family "Bacterial small subunit ribosomal RNA", at positions 78 to 674 of the family's 1533-position model. Lineage: Bacteria; Pseudomonadati; Pseudomonadota; Gammaproteobacteria; Lysobacterales; Lysobacteraceae. The record is from RNAcentral.